GAGCUGUGGAUAGGGGUGAAAGGCUAAACAAAUCCGGAAAUAGCUGGUUCUCCCCGAAAACUAUUUAGGUAGUGCGUCGUACGGACACUUGCGGGGGUAGAGCACUGUAAUCGUUGGGGGGGUCAUUGCGAUCUACCCCGCGAUAGCAAACUCCGAAUACCGCAAAGUGAUAUACGGCAGACAGACAUCGGGUGCUAACGUCCGGUGUCAAGAGGGAAACAACCCAGACCGCCAGCUAAGGUCCCAAAUGCAUGGCUAAGUGGCAAACGAGGUGGGAAGGCAUAGACAGCUAGGAGGUUGGCUUAGAAGCAGCCAUCCUUUAAAGAAAGCGUAAUAGCUCACUAGUCGAGUCGUCCUGCGCGGAAGAUGUAACGGGGCUCAAGCCAUGAACCGAAGCUGCGGAUGUGUCUUUGACACGUGGUAGGGG
This 427-nucleotide ribosomal RNA is filed under the name uncultured bacterium. Its description in RNAcentral is "bacterial LSU rRNA". It matches the Rfam family "Bacterial large subunit ribosomal RNA", at positions 806 to 1234 of the family's 2925-position model. The record is from RNAcentral.